Zalophus californianus (California sea lion) is the source of this 514-nucleotide long non-coding RNA. RefSeq lists it as uncharacterized. NCBI's taxonomy places the organism in Eukaryota, Metazoa, Chordata, Mammalia, Carnivora, Otariidae. The record is from RefSeq and is a predicted model, not a curated record. The transcript has 3 exons.
GGAAAUUCACCGUAGGCUGCCUGAAGGGCAAUGGAGAAGAUCAAAGAUAGAAAUGGACCAAGACAAACUCAAAUAACGAAGAGCAUCAAAAAGCCCAUCUUACCUUAGAAAUGCUAAGCCAAUGGUGUUUAUAUCAGCAUUUACAACUCUAUGAGUAUGACACAGGGUGGAAGAAUUGGAAGAUGUAUGGAUGUCAACUUGGUCUUCUUAAGGGAUGAAGAAAAUGAGGCUCAGAUCAAGCAGCCAGUGAGAAACAGAUGCAGAAUUUAACCCAGGACUGGUCGAUUCAGAGCACGUUUAGAGUGGAACUAAAUGUGGGAGAUAAGAUAGCACUCCCCAAAAGAGGUGAAAAGUCUAAGGAUGAAAAGAACAUUAGUUUUGUUAACUGGAGAUCUGGGUUGAAAAAUGGCUCUGCUCCUUCCUUGUUUCUGAACUGAUAUAAAUUGCUGAGUUUUGAUGUACCUAAAUGGGCUCACCUUUGAGUAGGCAUAGACAAGUUACAUCAUCAUGCUUU